GACAACGGUGAUGAGCAAUACAGACCUGUAAUGAUUUUGCGAGUAUGAUCGCAAACUCUUUUAUGAACAUCUAAGGGACUGAGUUGUC
Molecule: small nucleolar RNA, 88 nt
Organism: Diospyros lotus (date-plum)
Lineage: Eukaryota; Viridiplantae; Streptophyta; Magnoliopsida; Ericales; Ebenaceae
Product: small nucleolar RNA SNORD25
Exons: 1
Source: RefSeq, a predicted model, not a curated record